Xyrichtys novacula (pearly razorfish) is the source of this 3176-nucleotide non-coding RNA. NCBI's taxonomy places the organism in Eukaryota, Metazoa, Chordata, Actinopteri, Labriformes, Labridae. The record is from the annotation of a GenBank genome assembly.
UGUAUUAUUAUAUCAUCUUUUUAUUAAUGUUAUCUACUUCUCAAUAUCAUCUUUUUAACAGCAAUAUCCACAAAAUAUUAACAAUGUGCAAGAAAACAUGAGUUAUGGCACAUCAGAGAACAGUUACAAAAAAUAGAUAUAUUUUCUUCAUAAUCAAUCAAGGCAAAAAGAUACAUAUACUGUAUGCAUACACAGGAGAUCAGAACACAAAAGAUGAGUCUCAGGAAGGGCUCUGAGGCGAUGCAGCCAUGUUUGAUAUCCACCAAUGAGGAGCCUCAAACCUCCCCACAUGACCACAAUUUAUUUCGCGGGGGCCCGCUUUUUGUGUCGCGACGCCAGUGGAUUUUUCUGGCCAUCUCAAGGCCUUGUGUUCUCAUGUAACACUUCAAGUCGUGUUGAUCUGAUAACCCAAAGACCGGGAUAGCACAUUAUACGCCACUGUAAGGCAAACUAGCAACCAAUCAGAUGACCUCGAAGCCAAACCAGCGAUUUUAGGCCGGCUGUCUCUGAUUGUAGCCCAACUGAAUAUGGAAUGAUUGAGAAAAAACAAGAAUGAUUAAAAAAAAGGAGCAUCUCCAGGACAACAUGAGUGUGUGUAUGACUGUGUGUUUUGAUAUUUAUGCAUGCUUGUUUCAUGUCAUGUGGAUGUUUGCAGUUUGUAAUUCUCUUUUAAAUUUAGCUGCACUUUGCAAAUACAUUACAAGAAGCAGUCUUUCUAUUCCCAAAGACAAAUAAUGAGUCAGUAUUUUCCUCAAGCUCAAGAGUCCAGACCCCAGGGAAAAACAAAUAUAGACUUUUAUCGAUAAUUUGUAUGUACUUGAUUAAAAAAAAAAAGUUUAAGAUUCACUGAAAAGUUCUUAAAUUGACGGAUUAAAUUGAUAAGAUUUUGCAUCAGUUUGUUAAAGAACAGCUACAUCAUAAGCUUAUCCCAGCAGCUAUCUAGCUAUUCCUUCAUAAAGGAGACAGGACGAGGAGAUUAGAAAGAAGUAAGAUUUAAAAAAAACAAACAAAAAAGGGGUCAGUAGCUGGAUUAUGAGAUAUGGGGCCACAGUCAUUCAAGAGGGGCUUCCCAGGCCACAGACUGAUGAGAAGAAGUCAAAGCACUACUGUUUGUCUACCUGGGCAUUAGUUUGCCAAAAGCAAAAGCCCUGAAUUGUUUUCUGAAACACCAAACAAUGAAUGUUGGUCUGCAAAGCUUGAAUAAAUUCUGAAAAUAAACUAAAUCUAAUUUAUGCAACUGAGUCAGGCACAGAUGGAGAUUAAUAACAACAAAAAUUUCUCAAAAAAAAAAAAAUGAAAUUGCAGCUUUGUGAUCACACCAGAAAUAGCCGCUCAUGCUCUACCUAAACCAUUCAAGCAUUUGGCUGAAUCCUCUUUUACUCUUUUACUCCAGAUGGAUAAAAGAGCAAAUCGAGGGUUUACAUGCUGGUCUGACUUUUACUGCGUCCAAUGACCGCUCCUCAGGUCAGACUCACCCUGACCUGGAAUUGCUGGGCUGCUGGGCUGCUCUGUAACAUGACUGUGUGACUGUGACUCUGGAAAAGCUCCAGAGGCCCCAGUCCGUUCUUACUCACCGUGUCUCUCCUACUAUUGUGCACACACAGGCCUACAUACACACUCAUACGUGCACCUCUGCUAUCUGUUCCCCGCCUCCUGCUCUGCCAAAUCAUCCUUUUUAGCUACUAAACACCCCCACAUCUGCACACACACACACACACACAUACACCCCCAAGCCUUCUCUGUCUGUGUGGAACAAAGGCAAAUUAAAGACAUAGCACGGCUUUUUAUCAGCUCUAUACCACAAACAAGAAUUGGUGAUUCUAUGCAAUAAAAUAAAUUUUUGACACAUAUGUCACAUUAUAUUGACACUGAUUGGAUGUGGACUUCUAGAUGUGUAACAGUGUUGUCCUAAAAAAUAUAAUGUGAAUAAAAAUUGAAUUUUCUCAAGAUAAUCACGACUGCCUCUAAGUUACAGCUGCUGAAAAUGACACAGGUAUUUUAAUCAAAACUAACAAAAAUCAACAUUAUUUUGUAAUAAAAGAUAAAGUGUUGUUUUUCUCAAAUAUUAGUCCGAGAAAAUCUCUUAUUUGCUUUCUUGCUGGGAGUUUUAUGUAAGGACUGAUGGUCUAGCACUCAUAUCUAUACCCUCAAGAUAAAGCCACAGUUAUUAGCCUACAGCAAGAAUGUUGAUAGUGGAAAAACAGUAAGACCUCGUUAUGUCUGAGAUGUCUGAAGCACCCAGCUCUUGAGAAGCAGUUUUUUUUUUUUAGGUUUCACGUUAUUUUAGUGAACUUUUUGUGUGUAUGGUAAAAUUAUUUAGCUUUUAACCAAGGCUAGCCAACCAUUUCCAUAAUUAUCACUUUAGCUACAUGAGAGAGGACCUUUUCCCAUGACAACCGAUGACGUCACCAAACUCAACUGUGAAUUAGUGAUGGGCACGGUGGUUCUUUUAGAUGUACUAAAUCACUAGAAUCAGUUCACUAAAAAGAUUUGUUCACCAAAUCACCAAAUCAUGUAGCACUUGGCGGGAGAAGCCCGCGACUCCGACCUGAUACACAGCUGAACGGUUCAGGAUUCAGUUUCUGGGACCAAAAGACAAGAGUGUUUGGCUGUGUUGCUUUGGCAAACAGGUUUUUUAAAAUGAACUUGUUUAUAAGUCAUGAUGUUUCAAGUGUACUGUCCUAUAGUAUGCUAUUUAUCAGGUCUGCUCAUUCAUUCACUGACCAUUUAGAAGAAUUCACACUGAUAUGCACUGUUCCCUCGCAAACUGCUGUAAUGAUAGGAUGCUGCAGGUUUAAUGCACUACUUGUUACAUGCUGUGUCCUAUUGUAAGCAAGUUGUUGUUGUGGCAAUUUAGCGGUUAAAAAAAGGUAGUUUUGUCUGACAAAAAUGAUUCCAGAGAGUGUAGUUCAAUGUGAUUCGUUCACCAAGUGAUUCAGGUGUCGGUGCAUGCGGACCCUCGUUCGCCGGGAAAUGCUGUUUCUCACUUCAACUCAACUGAAGUGAGUAAUGAACGAAUUACUUAAUGAAGUGAUUCGGAUCAUUACGCUGACUUAAAAGAUUCGUUUUUUUGGACGAAUCGUUCGCGAACGACACAACACUACUGCGAACGUCCAUCAGCAACAAUGAUGCGUUCGAAGUUGAAACAAGAUGGCUACAUCUACAAAAGUUAUUUU